GGAGAGGUGGCUGAGUGGUCGAAAGCGGCAGAUUGCUAAUCUGUUACAUAGUUCAAUGUCAAGGGUUCAAACCCCUUUCUCUCUU
This 85-nucleotide transfer RNA is filed under the name Chromera velia. RNAcentral's name for it is "tRNA-Ser". It matches the Rfam family "tRNA". Rfam says of the family: Transfer RNA (tRNA) molecules are approximately 80 nucleotides in length. Their secondary structure includes four short double-helical elements and three loops (D, anti-codon, and T loops). Lineage: Eukaryota; Chromeraceae. The record is from RNAcentral.